Molecule: ribosomal RNA, 2894 nt
Filed under: Escherichia coli
Lineage: Bacteria; Pseudomonadati; Pseudomonadota; Gammaproteobacteria; Enterobacterales; Enterobacteriaceae
Description: partial 23S ribosomal RNA
Rfam family: Bacterial large subunit ribosomal RNA
Source: RNAcentral
GUUAAGCGACUAAGCGUACACGGUGGAUGCCCUGGCAGUCAGAGGCGAUGAAGGACGUGCUAAUCUGCGAUAAGCGUCGGUAAGGUGAUAUGAACCGUUAUAACCGGCGAUUUCCGAAUGGGGAAACCCAGUGUGUUUCGACACACUAUCAUUAACUGAAUCCAUAGGUUAAUGAGGCGAACCGGGGGAACUGAAACAUCUAAGUACCCCGAGGAAAAGAAAUCAACCGAGAUUCCCCCAGUAGCGGCGAGCGAACGGGGAGCAGCCCAGAGCCUGAAUCAGUGUGUGUGUUAGUGGAAGCGUCUGGAAAGGCGCGCGAUACAGGGUGACAGCCCCGUACACAAAAAUGCACAUGCUGUGAGCUCGAUGAGUAGGGCGGGACACGUGGUAUCCUGUCUGAAUAUGGGGGGACCAUCCUCCAAGGCUAAAUACUCCUGACUGACCGAUAGUGAACCAGUACCGUGAGGGAAAGGCGAAAAGAACCCCGGCGAGGGGAGUGAAAAAGAACCUGAAACCGUGUACGUACAAGCAGUGGGAGCACGCUUAGGCGUGUGACUGCGUACCUUUUGUAUAAUGGGUCAGCGACUUAUAUUCUGUAGCAAGGUUAACCGAAUAGGGGAGCCGAAGGGAAACCGAGUCUUAACUGGGCGUUAAGUUGCAGGGUAUAGACCCGAAACCCGGUGAUCUAGCCAUGGGCAGGUUGAAGGUUGGGUAACACUAACUGGAGGACCGAACCGACUAAUGUUGAAAAAUUAGCGGAUGACUUGUGGCUGGGGGUGAAAGGCCAAUCAAACCGGGAGAUAGCUGGUUCUCCCCGAAAGCUAUUUAGGUAGCGCCUCGUGAAUUCAUCUCCGGGGGUAGAGCACUGUUUCGGCAAGGGGGUCAUCCCGACUUACCAACCCGAUGCAAACUGCGAAUACCGGAGAAUGUUAUCACGGGAGACACACGGCGGGUGCUAACGUCCGUCGUGAAGAGGGAAACAACCCAGACCGCCAGCUAAGGUCCCAAAGUCAUGGUUAAGUGGGAAACGAUGUGGGAAGGCCCAGACAGCCAGGAUGUUGGCUUAGAAGCAGCCAUCAUUUAAAGAAAGCGUAAUAGCUCACUGGUCGAGUCGGCCUGCGCGGAAGAUGUAACGGGGCUAAACCAUGCACCGAAGCUGCGGCAGCGACGCUUAUGCGUUGUUGGGUAGGGGAGCGUUCUGUAAGCCUGUGAAGGUGUGCUGUGAGGCAUGCUGGAGGUAUCAGAAGUGCGAAUGCUGACAUAAGUAACGAUAAAGCGGGUGAAAAGCCCGCUCGCCGGAAGACCAAGGGUUCCUGUCCAACGUUAAUCGGGGCAGGGUGAGUCGACCCCUAAGGCGAGGCCGAAAGGCGUAGUCGAUGGGAAACAGGUUAAUAUUCCUGUACUUGGUGUUACUGCGAAGGGGGGACGGAGAAGGCUAUGUUGGCCGGGCGACGGUUGUCCCGGUUUAAGCGUGUAGGCUGGUUUUCCAGGCAAAUCCGGAAAAUCAAGGCUGAGGCGUGAUGACGAGGCACUACGGUGCUGAAGCAACAAAUGCCCUGCUUCCAGGAAAAGCCUCUAAGCAUCAGGUAACAUCAAAUCGUACCCCAAACCGACACAGGUGGUCAGGUAGAGAAUACCAAGGCGCUUGAGAGAACUCGGGUGAAGGAACUAGGCAAAAUGGUGCCGUAACUUCGGGAGAAGGCACGCUGAUAUGUAGGUGAAGUCCCUCGCGGAUGGAGCUGAAAUCAGUCGAAGAUACCAGCUGGCUGCAACUGUUUAUUAAAAACACAGCACUGUGCAAACACGAAAGUGGACGUAUACGGUGUGACGCCUGCCCGGUGCCGGAAGGUUAAUUGAUGGGGUUAGCGCAAGCGAAGCUCUUGAUCGAAGCCCCGGUAAACGGCGGCCGUAACUAUAACGGUCCUAAGGUAGCGAAAUUCCUUGUCGGGUAAGUUCCGACCUGCACGAAUGGCGUAAUGAUGGCCAGGCUGUCUCCACCCGAGACUCAGUGAAAUUGAACUCGCUGUGAAGAUGCAGUGUACCCGCGGCAAGACGGAAAGACCCCGUGAACCUUUACUAUAGCUUGACACUGAACAUUGAGCCUUGAUGUGUAGGAUAGGUGGGAGGCUUAGAAGUGUGGACGCCAGUCUGCAUGGAGCCGACCUUGAAAUACCACCCUUUAAUGUUUGAUGUUCUAACGUUGACCCGUAAUCCGGGUUGCGGACAGUGUCUGGUGGGUAGUUUGACUGGGGCGGUCUCCUCCUAAAGAGUAACGGAGGAGCACGAAGGUUGGCUAAUCCUGGUCGGACAUCAGGAGGUUAGUGCAAUGGCAUAAGCCAGCUUGACUGCGAGCGUGACGGCGCGAGCAGGUGCGAAAGCAGGUCAUAGUGAUCCGGUGGUUCUGAAUGGAAGGGCCAUCGCUCAACGGAUAAAAGGUACUCCGGGGAUAACAGGCUGAUACCGCCCAAGAGUUCAUAUCGACGGCGGUGUUUGGCACCUCGAUGUCGGCUCAUCACAUCCUGGGGCUGAAGUAGGUCCCAAGGGUAUGGCUGUUCGCCAUUUAAAGUGGUACGCGAGCUGGGUUUAGAACGUCGUGAGACAGUUCGGUCCCUAUCUGCCGUGGGCGCUGGAGAACUGAGGGGGGCUGCUCCUAGUACGAGAGGACCGGAGUGGACGCAUCACUGGUGUUCGGGUUGUCAUGCCAAUGGCACUGCCCGGUAGCUAAAUGCGGAAGAGAUAAGUGCUGAAAGCAUCUAAGCACGAAACUUGCCCCGAGAUGAGUUCUCCCUGACUCCUUGAGAGUCCUGAAGGAACGUUGAAGACGACGACGUUGAUAGGCCGGGUGUGUAAGCGCAGCGAUGCGUUGAGCUAACCGGUACUAAUGAACCGUGAGG